This 207-nucleotide ribosomal RNA is filed under the name Lentinellus omphalodes. Its description in RNAcentral is "partial large subunit ribosomal RNA". The record is from RNAcentral. Lineage: Eukaryota; Fungi; Basidiomycota; Agaricomycetes; Russulales; Auriscalpiaceae.
AGAGAGUUAAACAGUACGUGAAAUUGUUGAAGGGAAACGCUUGAAGUCAGUCGUCCGCCGAGACUCAGCCUUCUUCUGGCUUGGUGUACUUCUCGGUGGACGGGCCAGCAUCAAUUUUGACCGCCGGACAAGGGCGGGGGGAAGGUGGCACUUCGGGUGUUUAUAGCCCCUCGUCGCAUACGGCGGUCGGGAUUGAGGAACUCAGCA